RNAcentral lists this ribosomal RNA (500 nucleotides) under uncultured bacterium. RNAcentral describes it as "partial 16S ribosomal RNA". It matches the Rfam family "Bacterial small subunit ribosomal RNA", at positions 28 to 507 of the family's 1533-position model. The record is from RNAcentral.
GACGAACGCUGGCGGCGUGCUUAACACAUGCAAGUCGAACGGGUCUGCCCUGUUUUUUGCGGGGUGGGUCAGUGGCGAACGGGUGAGUAACACGUGAGUAACCUGCCCCUCACUUCUGGAUAACCGCUUGAAAGGGUGGCUAAUACGGGGUGUUCUGGCUGUGCCGCAUGGUGUGGCUGGGAAAGAUUCACUUUUGUGGUGUUUUGGUGGGGGAUGGGCUCGCGGCCUAUCAGCUUGUUGGUGGGGUGAUGGCCUGCCAAGGCUUUGACGGGUAGCCGGCCUGGGAGGGUGGGCGGUCACACUGGGACGGAGAUACGGCCCAGACUCCUGCGGGAGGCAGCAGUGGGGGGUAUUGCACAAUGGGCGGAAGCCUGAUGCAGCGACGUCGCGUGAGGGAUGGAGGCCUUCGGGUUGUGAACCUCUUUCGCCGGUGAAGAAGGUCCUGCUCUUUGUGGUGGGGUUGACGGUAGCCGGGUUAUGAAGCGCCGGCUAACUACGUG